RNAcentral lists this ribosomal RNA (451 nucleotides) under uncultured bacterium. RNAcentral describes it as "partial 16S ribosomal RNA". It matches the Rfam family "Bacterial small subunit ribosomal RNA", at positions 28 to 507 of the family's 1533-position model. The record is from RNAcentral.
GAUGAACGCUGGCGGCGUGCCUAACACAUGCAAGUCGAGCGGCAGUGAGGGGUGCUUGCACCCUGUCGGCGAGCGGCGGACGGCUGAGUAACGCGUGGGAACGUGCCCCAAAGUGAGGAAUAACUGCCCGAAAGGGUAGCUAAUACCGCAUAUUAUCUUCGGAUCAAAGGAUUUAUCCGCUUUGGGAGCGGCUCGCGUCGGAUUAGGUAGUUGGUGAGGUAAUGGCUCACCAAGCCGACGAUCCGUAGCUGGUCUGAGAGGAUGACCAGCCAGACUGGAACUGAGACACGGUCCAGACUCCUACGGGAGGCAGCAGUGAGGAAUCUUCCACAAUGGGCGAAAGCCUGAUGGAGCAACGCCGCGUGCAGGACGAAGGCCUUCGGGUUGUAAACUGCUUUUAUAAGUGAGGAAUAUGACGGUAACUUAUGAAUAAGGAUCGGCUAACUACGUG